GACGAACGCUGGCGGCGUGCUUAACACAUGCAAGUCGUACGGUAAGGCCCUUUCGGGGGUACACGGGGGGCGAAGGGGGGAGUAAAAGGGGAGUAACCGGCCCACAACUUUGGGAUAAGGCUAGGAAACGGGGGCUAAAACUGGAAAUGUGCUCCUGCUGCAGGGGGGGGGUUGGAAAGCUCCGGCGGUUGUGGAUGGAAUCGCGGCGUAUCAGCUUGUUGGUGGGGUAGGGGCCUACCAAGGCGGCGACGGGUGGCCGGCCUGAGAGGGUGACCGGCCACAUUGGGACUGAGAUACGGCCCAGACUCCUACGGGCGGCAGCAGUGGGGAAUAUUGCACAAUGGGCGCAAGCCUGAUGCAGCAACGCCGCGUGCGGGAUGACGGCCUUCGGGUUGUAAACCGCUUUCAGCAGGGACGAAGCUUUUUGUGACGGUACCUGCAGAAGAAGCACCGGCUAACUACGUG
RNAcentral lists this ribosomal RNA (465 nucleotides) under uncultured bacterium. RNAcentral describes it as "partial 16S ribosomal RNA". It matches the Rfam family "Bacterial small subunit ribosomal RNA", at positions 28 to 507 of the family's 1533-position model. The record is from RNAcentral.